CGUCGAAUUGAAAGAGAUGAGCCCAGGCGAGCUGAGAUAAAUUGUAAUCAAAAUGAAAGAAAUCAGGCUAGGCGAGAACUUAAUAGGUAUAAUAUGCAUCGCAUAGCAAGAAAUAAUAUUGCUAUAGAGAGUAACUACCUCGGAGAAUUAAACCAUAAUUGUCAGUAUUGCAGUGCAAAGAAGUUUUUAAAUGAAACUCAUUUUUUGUGCUGCCAUUCAAGAAAAUUUGUAUUAGCUCCUCUUUCUCUUUAUCCGCCAUUGUUGACUGGUUUAAUGACAGGAAACCAUGUUGAUCAUGCUGUAAAUCAAAAUUUUUUUAAACACAAGGAGUUAUAAUUCCUCUUUAUCUUUUGCUUCCUUCACUGCCGAAAUAGCUCCUCCCUCAAAUAAUAGCCCUUUCUGUUUUAGGGUCUGUGGGCAAAUUUUGCAUCGUGUUGGAAAUUUAAGGCCUGCAGAAGGUUGUCUGCCCAAAUAUUGUCAGCUGUAUAUCUAUGAUCCUAAUGCAGCUUAUUACAUUGAUUGAUUGUUUUUAUUGCAUUUUUAAUUUUCUUUUAUUUAUCUCUAGCUGCUGCUUCUUCUGUUACAAGCUCGAAGUCAUGGGAAGAUUUCCGAAAGUAUCGCUCCCAGCAUCCAGGCCCUCUAUCUAUGAGGGCCUUCCAUCGCUGGUGUUUGUAUGGGGACGACCAUCCCUCCUUUAGAUGGAGGGAUGGCACACCAUACAACACGGGGAAUAGAGCGGAUGCUGGGAGGAGAAGACAACGUGGCUCAAAAGUUGUCAAUAAUUUUUUUACAUUUUAAAAUGUAAAGAAAUUGACAACUUUUGAGCCACUUCAUUUUUUUUUUUGUAAUAUAUUUUUGUAAAUUUA
Molecule: non-coding RNA, 866 nt
Organism: Hydra vulgaris (swiftwater hydra)
Lineage: Eukaryota; Metazoa; Cnidaria; Hydrozoa; Anthoathecata; Hydridae
Source: RefSeq, a predicted model, not a curated record